CGGCGCCCGCGCACAGCGGCGGCCGGGCGGAGGCGCCGGCCGAGCGGGCGCCCGCGGGCUGCGUAACGCCCUGUCGAAAGCGGACGCCAUAUUUUUUUGUGGCUGUGUCGACACAGAGCGACGUAGACAUGUUUUCCUCUCCUCCUCGGUCUGGCUUGCCUCCGCGCCAACUUGCCGUCAGAACUCUUCUGGGGAGGCCGCCGAGCCCUGCGUUCAUGACCCCAGGACUGAUGGCUCCCUGCUGACCUGUUGAAUCUGUCUCCCCUUGGACCGUUAUCCCACACCGCUGGAUGGGAGCGCAUCUGCCGGACCCACCUCUGAAGGUCAGCACCAAGCCCAGAACCGGGGCCAGAGCAAGUGCUCAGCAAACAUCUGGCAGAUGAACAAGCGGGCGCUCGCCUCUCCCAGCCACCGGGCAGCCCCAGAAGCAGGUGUCAUUGUGCUCCCGCCACCAGACUGAGAAACCAGACUCAGAGACGAAAGGCAGCACUUCCAAAAGGGCAGGAACAAGUUUGAGACCCUGUUUUAUCUUUAUUUGUCUUUAUUAGAGUGCCAUGAGCGUUCCCUCAUGGCCACGCAUUCUGUCUCUCGUGUAUGUUUGUGUGCGGGUUUACUUUGGCAUAGAUGCUCCGAUUCAGGUGACAAAUGAUGGGAGGCAGCAGAGAGCCCCACCCCACUUUUGUUUCCUAGCCACCUGGGUCCCUCUCUGCAAGCAACUGAGGGUGCCAGUUUCUUAUAUAUCCCUCUAGAGCCUGUCUGCACAUAUACAAGGAAACACAUUUAUUUCUUCUCCUCCUUGUAUCUGACUCACGUGGCAGCUUAACAUAAUGCUCCUUAGCUUUUUAAACUUAGUGACAUGCUGCAGAGACCCAUAUCUAUAUGUCCUUUCCACAAUUCGACUGCUAGAGCUGCAUUUUAUUUUUUUAUGGCUGUAGUGUGUCACACUGUAUGUAUAUUUCACAAUUUAUUAAAUCUUCCAGUGACAGAAAUUUUUACCAUUACAAACCACGAGUAACUUUGUACAUGUGUCAAUUCACACAUGCGUGAGUAUGUUUGAAAGAUGCACUUUCAGAAAUGGAAUUGCUGGGAUGAAGGUAAGCAGGAAGAUUUUUUUUUAAAAAGGUCUUGCUAUGUAGUUCAGGCUGGCCUUGAACUCACAGCGAUCCUCCUGCCUCAGCCUCUUCAGUGCUGGGAUCACAGACAUCGCCACCACACCCAGCUACCCUGAGAUUUCUAAGACCCACAAUGGCACGAGACUUGGGCCAUUGUAAUGCCAGUUCAGCAUCCAGACA
This 1292-nucleotide long non-coding RNA is filed under the name Heterocephalus glaber (naked mole-rat). RNAcentral describes it as "lncRNA (ENSHGLG00100036611.1)". The record is from RNAcentral. Lineage: Eukaryota; Metazoa; Chordata; Mammalia; Rodentia; Bathyergidae.